AACGCAAAUUGCACUCUCUGGCAACCCGGGGAGUAUGCCUGUUUGAGGGUCAGUGUUAAUAAAAAUCGGGUGCGUUGCAAUUUUUGUGACGUUUCCGGAGUUUGAGUUAUCUUAAUUAACUUCGGUUUUAAGAGGCUUAAAAUUGACCUUUUUUUUGUGCAUUUUUUUAGACGUACAUAAAUUUUUUUUUUAUUCGUCCAUCCUAAUGCCAAAAUCUAUUAGAUGCGACCAUAUCUUGUGGUUCCGUGUCUAUAAAUUUUUCAUGAUUUGACCUCAAAUCAGGUAGGAACACCCGCUGAACUUAA
RNAcentral lists this unclassified non-coding RNA (305 nucleotides) under uncultured Glomeraceae. RNAcentral describes it as "sequence contains ITS2". The record is from RNAcentral. Lineage: Eukaryota; Fungi; Glomeromycota; Glomeromycetes; Glomerales; Glomeraceae.